UGCAGAAUCCCGUGAACCAUCGAGUUUUUGAACGCAAGUUGCGCCCAAAGCCAUUAGGUUGAGGGCACGUCUGCCUGGGCGUCACAUAUCGUUGCCCUGUGCCCCAUGCCUAUUGAUAGGCACCGUGCAGGGCGAAUGUUGGCUUCCCGUGAGCUCUUUUGCCUCACGGUUGGCUGAAAACUGAGUCCUUGGUAGGGUGUGUGCCAUGAUAGAUGGUGGUUGUGUGACCCACGAGACCGUUCAUGUGCAGCUCUACCAGAUUUGGCCUCUACGACCCACUUGCGUCCUUGGAUGCUCAUGACGAGACCUCAGGUCAGGCGGGGCUACCCGCUGAAUUUAAGCAUAUCAAUAAGCGGAGGAAAAGAAACUAACUAGGAUUCCCUUAGUAACGGCGAGCGAACCGGGAAGAGCCCACCAUGAGAAUCGGUCGCCCUAGGCGUUCGA
RNAcentral lists this unclassified non-coding RNA (444 nucleotides) under Onobrychis viciifolia (common sainfoin). Its description in RNAcentral is "sequence contains ITS2". The stretch from base 304 to 444 matches the Rfam family "Eukaryotic large subunit ribosomal RNA", at positions 1 to 141 of the family's 3401-position model. The record is from RNAcentral. Lineage: Eukaryota; Viridiplantae; Streptophyta; Magnoliopsida; Fabales; Fabaceae.